CCAGAAGGUUUUUUUGUUUGUUUGUUUAACCUGGCCAAUUCUCUAGGAAGCAUCCAGGGAAACCCAAGCUUUAUUGGCCAUAAGCCAGACACUGUGUAGGCAUAGGGGUCUCUUUCUGUCAGUUGGCACCAAGCAAAGGGUGCUUCAGUCUGCAGUGUUGGUAUCAGCAGUGGCUAUCAGAACUCUACAACUCUCGGAAUAGCUUCUGCUACAGCUGAUCUGGCCAAGAAACCAGGCAAGUGGCCAAGGCCUGAAGAGGCAUGGCUGAAUUGAUCUAGAGUGGCAGAGCAAGUCACCUUGGAAGAUAACUUUUUUGUUCAGAGAAGAAUCACUGGAAUGGUCCUUUUAAGGCAUACCUGUUUAUAGCUGUGCUGAAGUAUUCAUCACCAAUGGGCCUGCUGCAUCUGCAGCCUUUGGAGCCUCUAUUUAGGUUGUCUCCAAUCUUGUAAAAAGAC
RNAcentral lists this long non-coding RNA (455 nucleotides) under Homo sapiens (human). RNAcentral's name for it is "HSALNT0312900". Lineage: Eukaryota; Metazoa; Chordata; Mammalia; Primates; Hominidae. The record is from RNAcentral.